This 1963-nucleotide ribosomal RNA is filed under the name Staphylococcus aureus. RNAcentral describes it as "partial 23S ribosomal RNA". It matches the Rfam family "Bacterial large subunit ribosomal RNA", at positions 1 to 1987 of the family's 2925-position model. The record is from RNAcentral. Lineage: Bacteria; Bacillati; Bacillota; Bacilli; Caryophanales; Staphylococcaceae.
GGUUAAGUGACUAAGCGUACACGGUGGAUGCCUAGGCAGUCAGAGGCGAUGAAGGGCGUGCUAAUCUGCGAAAAGCGUCGGUAAGGUGAUAUGAACCGUUACAACCGGCGAUACCCGAAUGGGGAAACCCAGUGUGUUUCGACACACUAUCAUGUCAUGAAUACAUAGUGGCAUGAGGCGAACCGGGGGAACUGAAACAUCUAAGUACCCCGAGGAAAAGAAAUCAACCGAGAUUCCCCCAGUAGCGGCGAGCGAACGGGGAGGAGCCCAGAACCUGAAUCGGCUUGUGUGUUAGUGGAAGCGUCUGGAAAGUCGCGCAACAAAGGGUGAUAGCCCCGUACACUAAAAUGCACAGGUCGUGAGUUCGAUGAGUAGGGCGGGACACGUGACAUCCUGUCUGAAUAUGGGGGGACCAUCCUCCAAGGCUAAAUACUCCUGACUGACCGAUAGUGAACCAGUACCGUGAGGGAAAGGCGAAAAGAACCCCGGCGAGGGGAGUGAAAUAGAACCUGAAACCGUGUACGUACAAGCAGUGGGAGCACCUUCGUGGUGUGACUGCGUACCUUUUGUAUAAUGGGUCAGCGACUUAUAUUUUGUAGCAAGGUUAACCGUAUAGGGGAGCCGUAGGGAAACCGAGUCUUAACUGGGCGAAUAGUUGCAAGGUAUAGACCCGAAACCCGGUGAUCUAGCCAUGGGCAGGUUGAAGGUUGGGUAACACUAACUGGAGGACCGAACCGACUAAUGUUGAAAAAUUAGCGGAUGACUUGUGGCUGGGGGUGAAAGGCCAAUCAAACCGGGAGAUAGCUGGUUCUCCCCGAAAGCUAUUUAGGUAGCGCCUCGUGAACUCAUCUUCGGGGGUAGAGCACUGUUUCGGCUAGGGGGCCAUCCCGGCUUACCAAACCGAUGCAAACUCCGAAUACCGAAGAAUGUUAUCACGGGAGACACACGGCGGGUGCUAACGUCCGUCGUGAAGAGGGAAACAACCCAGACCGCCAGCUAAGGUCCCAAAGUAUGGUUAAGUGGGAAACGAAGUGGGAAGGCUAAAACAGUCAGGAGGUUGGCUUAGAAGCAGCCAUCCUUUAAAGAAAGCGUAAUAGCUCACUGGUCGAGUCGGCCUGCGCGGAAGAUGUAACGGGGCUAAACCAUGCACCGAAGCUGCGGCAGCGACGCUUAGCGUUGUUGGGUAGGGGAGCGUUCUGUAAGCCGUUGAAGGUGGCCUGUGAGGGUUGCUGGAGGUAUCAGAAGUGCGAAUGCUGACAUAAGUAACGAUAAAGCGGGUGAAAAGCCCGCUCGCCGGAAGACCAAGGGUUCCUGUCCAACGUUAAUCGGGGCAGGGUGAGUCGACCCCUAAGGCGAGGCUGAAAAGCGUAGUCGAUGGGAAACAGGUUAAUAUUCCUGUACUUGGUGUUACUGCGAAGGGGGGACGGAGAAGGCUAGGCUAGCCGGGCGACGGUUGUCCCGGUUUAAGCGUGUAGGGGGUGUGACCUGGUAAAUCCGGUUGCAUACUAACCCUGAGGCGUGAUGACGAUGCACUACGGUGCAGAAGUAGUUGAUGCCCUGCUUCCAGGAAAAUCCUCUAAGCUCCAGGUAACAUUAAAUCGUACCCCAAACCGACACAGGUGGUCAGGUAGAGAAUACCAAGGCGCUUGAGAGAACUCGGGUGAAGGAACUAGGCAAAAUGGUGCCGUAACUUCGGGAGAAGGCACGCUGGCAUGUAGGUGAAGUCCCUCGCGGAUGGAGCUGAAGCCAGUCGAAGAUACCAGCUGGCUGCAACUGUUUAAUAAAAACACAGCACUGUGCAAACACGAAAGUGGACGUAUACGGUGUGACGCCUGCCCGGUGCUGGAAGGUUAAUUGAUGGGGUCAGCCGCAAGGCGAAGCUCUUGAUCGAAGCCCCAGUAAACGGCGGCCGUAACUAUAACGGUCCUAAGGUAGCGAAAUUCCUUGUCGGGUAAGUUCCGAC